Molecule: small RNA, 118 nt
Filed under: Marmota monax (woodchuck)
Lineage: Eukaryota; Metazoa; Chordata; Mammalia; Rodentia; Sciuridae
Source: RNAcentral
ACUGGGUAUGGUGGUGUAUGCCUGUAGUCCUAGCUACUUGGGAGACUGAGACAGGAGAAUCACCUGUGUCCGAAUGUUUGAGACUAGUUCUGGGCAACAUAGCAAACACCUGUCUCAA